Molecule: transfer RNA, 72 nt
Filed under: Ornithorhynchus anatinus (platypus)
Lineage: Eukaryota; Metazoa; Chordata; Mammalia; Monotremata; Ornithorhynchidae
Rfam family: tRNA
About the family: Transfer RNA (tRNA) molecules are approximately 80 nucleotides in length. Their secondary structure includes four short double-helical elements and three loops (D, anti-codon, and T loops).
Source: Rfam by way of RNAcentral
AGCAGUAUGGCUCAGUGGAAAGAGCACGGGCUUGGGAGUCAGAGGUCAUGGGUUCGAAUCCCGGCUCUGCCA